GUUAAACAGCUUGGUCAGUAGUUGUGAUACAUUUUCCUGGUUUGUGUUGGAUUCAGGGAGCCCCCUUACCCUAAUGUUAUUCCUCCGUCCCCUGUGCAGCAUAUUAAGUGUUGAUGUGUGCUUACCGAUUUGUUGCUGCAUCAGUGGUAACUGAGGGCUGCAGGCCGCAGAGGAGGAUUCAAACUGUUUCACUCUCUCAUCCAGGGAACUCAGGCCGGAACCCAA
This is a non-coding RNA of Pelobates cultripes (western spadefoot toad), 225 nucleotides long. The record is from the annotation of a GenBank genome assembly. Lineage: Eukaryota; Metazoa; Chordata; Amphibia; Anura; Pelobatidae.